This 1953-nucleotide long non-coding RNA is filed under the name Spirodela polyrhiza (greater duckweed). RNAcentral describes it as "long non-coding RNA (SPOL_LNC000081)". Lineage: Eukaryota; Viridiplantae; Streptophyta; Magnoliopsida; Alismatales; Araceae. The record is from RNAcentral.
UUAUCUCUCUCUCUCUCUCUCUCUCUCUCUCUACCCCUCUCAAUCUCUAUCUCUAAUGGAGAUUCUCUAUAAUGGAGGAAUAUAAAGAGCCCCGCCGCAGCAGCCAUCUCUCCCACAUGUUCGAAGAAAGAAGAAGACCUUCCCAUCGCUCCCGCAGAUACGCCCCUCCAGGAAAGCUUCCGACCGGCAGAAAUCAAGACCCGCGUUUCUCCCUCUCUUCUGGUUCGCCAGCGGACGACUCUCUAUCUCUAUAUCUCUCUCUCGCUUCGGCUCCAAUCGGCCUGAGGCCGUCUCUGGGCUCCGUGCUGCCAUCGUUGCGCCGCCGGGAUGUGCGGAGGAGCAAUCCUCUCCGACCUGAUACCCGCCGCCAGGUCGAGGCGGGUCACCGUUGACCACCUCUGGCCACCGCCGGACGGGGACUGGCUCAACGCUUCCGGCCCAAAGAAUAAGAAGAAGAAGAAGAAGAACCACAAGGAGAAAUCCCCCCCCUUCCUGAUCGAGGACGAGGACGACUUCGAGGCCGAUUUCCGGGAGUUCGACGACAGCUCCGAGGAGGAGGGCGAGGAGCUCCUCGAUGUCAAGCCCUUCGCCUUCUCCGCGCUAGCCCCCUUCGCCCGAGGUAAAAACCUGCACAGAAUUAUGCUACAGUUAUAAUAAUAAGCGGCCCUUUUUUCUCUCCUUGGGUCCGACGCUUCCAUUUUUCUGUAGUUUUUUUGGUAACUGUUGCAUCCCCCCCCUUUUUUUGGCGAAGAAUCAUGAUCAACGCGGUGGAUCGUCAGGAUUUUGUUAGGAAUUAUUUAGUUCCUACAGAUUUCACUGAAAUCGCGGGAUGGGGGAUGGAAUCUACUUUGUGUGCUUUCAAUCGGCCUGAUUUUUUUACAUGAACUACCUUCUUUCCCUUGAUUUGGACCCUCCGGUUGGUUCUCGGAGGGCCAUGGCGAAGGAUUUUCGGCUUUUCUCCAUCUUGGGCAUAUCGACCUUUAUGAAUCCGAAUCUUUGGAAUAUUAUCAUCAUACGAUCUUCCAAACUCGAUGGUCCUUUCGAAAGUGAGUUCUGAACUUUCCAAGACGGCUCCCCGAAGGAUGCUCUCUCUUGAGAAGGGCUUUCUCCCAGGUCUGCUCCUCUGUUCUCGGGUUUCGACCAUCUCUGAACGAUAAAAAAAAUGAUUUUCCUCUGUUCUUCAGCCUCGUAUAGCCGAGAUGUCGAAUCCCAGUUCAUCGGCGGUCAGUUUGCUGUUUCCUCAUAUCGAUGUCGAAACAGGGGGCGCGCCCGAGUUCGUCCCGUUGAUCUGAUGGUUUUACGCGUGCCCAAGAUUUUUUCUGUACGAUUUGAUCGUGAUCUUCUGAAGUUGGAAUUUGGCUUCAUCACGAUGGAAGACGAUCCGAGUCAUUUCUACGUUCGGUUUGGUUUUAAUUUUUUUUUAAUCUGCCGUGGCCUCAUAUAAUGGGUUUUAAGCCCAAGGGAUUGAUCUCGAUCUGAUUCAUGGCUGAUGGGUCUUCUUCCGUUGCGUCGUCUUGAACAGCCGAACCCGAGGGGCUCGCCGAGAAAAGCUCCAAGAGGAAGAGGAGGAACCAGUACCGAGGCAUCCGGCAGCGCCCGUGGGGCAAGUGGGCGGCGGAAAUCAGGGACCCGAAGAAGGGCGUCCGCGUCUGGCUCGGCACCUUCAACACCGCCGAGGAAGCUGCUCGGGCCUACGACUGCGAGGCCCGCAGGAUCCGCGGUCAGAAGGCCAAAGUCAACUUCCCCGAGGCGGCGGGCGCCCGGAGGCCCACCCCCAGAGCCGCUGCCGCCGCCGCCCCGAAGGUUCCCAAGCCCCUAAACCACGAGGCGAUGUCCAAUUCCUAUCAAAGUUUCAAUCUUGAGAGCGAUCUCCAUCGUGGGUCCUCCUCCGAGCUCGAGUUCGCCGAGGAGAAGGAAGCGACUGUCAAGCAGGCCCAGUACCCCAAUUCCGAC